AUUGAACGCUGGCGGCAUGCCUUACACAUGCAAGUCGAGCGGCAGCGCGGGGGCAACCCUGGCGGCGAGCGGCGCACGGGUGAGUAAUACAUCGGAACGUGUCCUUUCGUGGGGGAUAACCAGUCGAAAGAUUGGCUAAUACCGCAUGAGAUCUCACGAUGAAAGGCGGGGACCCGAGGUAACUUCGACCUCGCGCUGUUGGAGCGGCCGAUGUCGGAUUAGCAGG
RNAcentral lists this ribosomal RNA (226 nucleotides) under uncultured bacterium. Its description in RNAcentral is "partial 16S ribosomal RNA". It matches the Rfam family "Bacterial small subunit ribosomal RNA", at positions 30 to 248 of the family's 1533-position model. The record is from RNAcentral.